GCCGGCCCCAGUGUGGUUUCCGUUGUGCUUGGGAGCAGUCGCGUAGUCGCCCGUGUCCAGCUCCUUCUUUGUUCUUUGUUCCGAAAUCGGUCUUUUCUUCUUCGGACCCCGAACGUCGCCUCACGCUUCCUGCCUUCGUCAAAGGGCCUCCUUUCGUUCGACACAUUGGGCGCAAGAGCGAGUUGCACGGCUGGCCCUCCGUUUCAAGUGACCUCCUUCAGCUGCGGAUGACCUGUGCUUAAUCAAGACCGCUUGAAUGGCAACUGAGAACUUGCUCCAAGCAAAAAGUGUUUUUAUGAAAUCGUGUUAGCUCGUGCGAAUUCACUGAAUAGGAACAAGUGUGUUUUCAUCGAGACAGCUCUCGUCUGCAAACUUGCAUUGUCGGCCUAAUAAAGUCUCAGGUUAUUAAAAUGUGAGGUAAAAAAGGAAAAUCUGUUGUUUUGUGUUUUGCUGGUGAGGACGAAGCCCCUGCUGUGCACACCUGCGGAAACGAAGUAAGUCCCUUAUCAGUUUGUUCAGAGAUUUGAUUUUUUCCCGUGGUAAUCGUGAAAAA
Molecule: long non-coding RNA, 553 nt
Organism: Ixodes scapularis (black-legged tick)
Lineage: Eukaryota; Metazoa; Arthropoda; Arachnida; Ixodida; Ixodidae
Exons: 2
Source: RefSeq, a predicted model, not a curated record